This 377-nucleotide ribosomal RNA is filed under the name uncultured organism. Its description in RNAcentral is "partial 16S ribosomal RNA". It matches the Rfam family "Bacterial small subunit ribosomal RNA", at positions 527 to 896 of the family's 1533-position model. The record is from RNAcentral.
GUAGGUGGCAAGCGUUGUCCGGGAAUUAUUGGGGCGUAAAGCGCGCGCAGGCGGUCCUUUAAGUCUGAUGUGAAAGCCCACGGGCUCAACCGUGGGAGGGUCAUUGGAAACUGGGGGACUUGAGUGCAGAAGAGAAGAGUGGAAUUCCACGUGUAGCGGUGAAAUGCGUAGAGAUGUGGAGGAACACCAGUGGCGAAGGCGACUCUUUGGUCUGUAACUGACGCUGAGGCGCGAAAGCGUGGGGAGCAAACAGGAUUAGAUACCCUGGUAGUCCACGCCGUAAACGAUGAGUGCUAAGUGUUAGAGGGGUUUCCGCCCUUUAGUGCUGCAGCAAACGCAUUAAGCACUCCGCCUGGGGAGUACGGCCGCAAAGGCUG